CAUCGCCUCUUGACCCUAUAAGAGGUCCAGCCUGCCCAGUGACUCUGUUCAACGGCCGCGGUAUCCUAACCGUGCAAAGGUAGCACAAUCACUUGUCUUCUAAAUAAAGACUAGUAUGAAAGGCAUCACGAGGGCUAGACUGUCUCCCCCCUCUAAUCAGUGAACCUAAUCUCCCCGUGAAGAAGCGGGGAUCCACAUAUAAGACGAGAAGACCCUAUGGAGCUUAAAACAAUAUAAUACCUGCUUUUUCCCACCUAUUCAGAUUUUUUACCUCAGCACACUAAUUACAAGUUUUUGGUUGGGGCGACCACGGAGAAAAACCAACCCUCCACAAUGAAAGGAACUUUUUUCCCCAAACAAUAAGUUACAACUUUACAUUUCAAUAAAUUGACAUCCAUUGACCCAAUAAUUGAUCAACGAGCCAAGUUACCCUAGGGAUAACAGCGCAAUCCACUUUGAGAGCCCCUAUCGACAAGUGGGCUUACGACCUCGAUGUUGGAUCGGGUUAUCCUAGUGGUGCAGCAGCUACUAAGGGUUCGUUUGUUCAACGAUUAAAACCCC
This 561-nucleotide ribosomal RNA is filed under the name Pristimantis cf. pluvialis ABGD cluster 260. RNAcentral's name for it is "partial large subunit ribosomal RNA". It matches the Rfam family "Bacterial large subunit ribosomal RNA", at positions 1814 to 2597 of the family's 2925-position model. The record is from RNAcentral. Lineage: Eukaryota; Metazoa; Chordata; Amphibia; Anura; Strabomantidae.